Molecule: ribosomal RNA, 297 nt
Filed under: Triticum aestivum (bread wheat)
Lineage: Eukaryota; Viridiplantae; Streptophyta; Magnoliopsida; Poales; Poaceae
Description: partial small subunit ribosomal RNA
Source: RNAcentral
AUGAGCUUGUGGUGUCGAGGAGGCUUUAUCAGAGCUGCUACGGCUCGACUUGACCACGUUCUGAAUGUGGUUUCAGCGGAAGUGGCGGCGCUGUUGGAAGGGCUUAAAUUAGCACAAGGUACUGGAUGCAACAAUCUCCUAGUACAUAUGGACAAUCUGAUAGUGGUGGAAGCAUUGCAAAAUAAUGAGGGAUACUCAAUGGUGGAGGCCCCUAUCAUUCAAGAUUGUCGAGAGUUGAUGAGAGAGUUCGGGAAGGUUGUUAUAGAACAUUGUAAUAGAGAGUCUAAUUGCACAUGA